AUCCAGAUGACGGUUCCUAAAUAGGACGAAAUGCGCAUCCUGGAU
This 45-nucleotide non-coding RNA is filed under the name Trichobilharzia regenti. The record is from RNAcentral. Lineage: Eukaryota; Metazoa; Platyhelminthes; Trematoda; Strigeidida; Schistosomatidae.